CCCUUAGAUGUCCUGGGCUGCACGCGCGCUACACUGAUGUGUCCAGUAAGCACCUAACCUCUUCCGAAAGGAACGGGUAACCUUUGCAAAGCACAUCGUGAUGGGGAUAGAUUAUUGCAAUUAUUAGUCUUGAACGAGGAAUUCCUAGUAAGCACAAGUCAUCAGCUUGUGUUGAUUACGUCCCUGCCCUUUGUACAAACCGCCCGUCGCUCCUACCGAUUGAAUGUUCCGGUGAGCUCUUCGGACUGCGCGGUCUGCAGUUUCUGCGUUCCGUGCGGAAAGUUGCGCAAACCUUAACAUUUAGAGGAAGGAGAAGUCGUAACA
This 324-nucleotide ribosomal RNA is filed under the name uncultured eukaryote. RNAcentral describes it as "partial 18S ribosomal RNA". It matches the Rfam family "Eukaryotic small subunit ribosomal RNA", at positions 1470 to 1796 of the family's 1831-position model. The record is from RNAcentral.